RNAcentral lists this ribosomal RNA (490 nucleotides) under uncultured bacterium. Its description in RNAcentral is "partial 16S ribosomal RNA". It matches the Rfam family "Bacterial small subunit ribosomal RNA", at positions 29 to 507 of the family's 1533-position model. The record is from RNAcentral.
AGUGAACGCUGGCGGUAGGCCUAACACAUGCAAGUCGAACGGCAGCACAGGAGAGCUUGCUCUCUGGGUGGCGAGUGGCGGACGGGUGAGGAAUACAUCGGAAUCUGCCCAGUCGUGGGGGAUAACGUAGGGAAACUUACGCUAAUACCGCAUACGACCUUCGGGUGAAAGAGGGGGAUCGCAAGACCUCUCGCGAUUGGAUGAGCCGAUGUCGGAUUAGCUAGUUGGCGAGGUAAUGGCCCACCAAGGCGACGAUCCGUAGCUGGUCUGAGAGGAUGAUCAGCCACACUGGAACUGAGACACGGUCCAGACUCCUACGGGAGGCAGCAGUGGGGAAUAUUGGACAAUGGGCGCAAGCCUGAUCCAGCCAUACCGCGUGGGUGAAGAAGGCCUUCGGGUUGUAAAGCCCUUUUGUUGGGAAAGAAAUCUUUCAGGCUAAUACCCUGGGAGGAUGACGGUACCCAAAGAAUAAGCACCGGCUAACUUCGUG